AUUUACUUGAAAUAUUUUUUUUUUUAAAUAUAAAAAUAUUUUGGUCUCAGUAGGGGUUGAACCUACGACCCUAGGAAUUGUAGUCAAAGUUGGUUUAUAGAAGAAAAUGAAUACUCUUCAAAAAGGGGGGUAGUUGAUUAGAAUGGUCAAACUUUAAGUCUGGUGUGUAAUCUGGUAAACCUGAUAAAUAAAAGUUCUCUCGCUUGCAGCUAGUAAAGCCGCCAUUCAUGAUUGCUGAAAUGGAUUGAAAAAAACAACAACAGAAAACAGAAGUAAAAGAAUCGAUUGGGACAACUCAGCAGCAAGAACGCAAUGCUUUCAAAGUAACAAAUAGCAGGAGAAUGAGGACAGUUGGGGUAGUAGCAGAAAAUUUUCUACAGCUAAAAUCUAAAUGUAAAUAAGAGACCGGCAACUACACCGAUCAUAAAACAAGACAAUAAGAGGGCGACAACGAGUUUACCUGUUGGAGAAGACGAUUACAUGGAACUAACAACCCGACACACAGAAUUUAACAACCUGUACCAGACUUUAAUAGUGUUGAAAAAUAAAUACGCCACCAAUACAACCAUUCAAAAAGACAUGAAUAAUUGUGAAGAAUUGUUAAAAAACAUGAUAUAUAAUAUAUUUAUUUAUUUAAUUUUGUUGGGUUUAACGUCGCACCGACACAAUUUUAGGUCAUAUGGCAACUUUCCAGCUUUAAUGGUGGAGGAA
Long non-coding RNA from Mercenaria mercenaria, 711 nucleotides. RefSeq lists it as uncharacterized. The record is from RefSeq and is a predicted model, not a curated record. NCBI's taxonomy places the organism in Eukaryota, Metazoa, Mollusca, Bivalvia, Venerida, Veneridae. The transcript is spliced from 3 exons.